GAGGGUGUAGCUCAGUGGUAGAGCGCGGGCUUAGCGUGCAUCCUGGGUUCUAUCCCCAGCACCUCCA
RNAcentral lists this transfer RNA (67 nucleotides) under Camelus bactrianus (Bactrian camel). It matches the Rfam family "tRNA". From Rfam's summary of the family: Transfer RNA (tRNA) molecules are approximately 80 nucleotides in length. RNAcentral also lists the same sequence under 2 other names. Lineage: Eukaryota; Metazoa; Chordata; Mammalia; Artiodactyla; Camelidae. The record is from Rfam by way of RNAcentral.